GCUCAGGACGAACGCUGGCGGUGUGCCUAAUACAUGCAAGUAGAACGCUGAAGAGAGGAGCUUGCUCUUCUUGGAUGAGUUGCGAACGGGUGAGUAACGCGUAGGUAACCUGCCUGGUAGCGGGGGAUAACUAUUGGAAACGAUAGCUAAUACCGCAUAAAAUUGAUUAUUGCAUGAUAAUUAAUUGAAAGAUGCAAUUGCAUCACUACCAGAUGGACCUGCGUUGUAUUAGCUAGUUGGUGAGGUAACGGCUCACCAAGGCGACGAUACAUAGCCGACCUGAGAGGGUGAUCGGCCACACUGGGACUGAGACACGGCCCAGACUCCUACGGGAGGCAGCAGUAGGGAAUCUUCGGCAAUGGGGGGAACCCUGACCGAGCAACGCCGCGUGAGUGAAGAAGGUUUUCGGAUCGUAAAGCUCUGUUGUAAGAGAAGAACGGGUGUGAGAGUGGAAAGUUCACACUGUGACGGUAUCUUACCAGAAAGGGACGGCUAACUACGUGCCAGCAGCCGCGGUAAUACGUAGGUCCCGAGCGUUGUCCGGAUUUAUUGGGCGUAAAGCGAGCGCAGGCGGUUAGAUAAGUCUGAAGUUAAAGGCUGUGGCUUAACCAUAGUAUGCUUUGGAAACUGUUUAACUUGAGUGCAGAAGGGGAGAGUGGAAUUCCAUGUGUAGCGGUGAAAUGCGUAGAUAUAUGGAGGAACACCGGUGGCGAAAGCGGCUCUCUGGUCUGUAACUGACGCUGAGGCUCGAAAGCGUGGGGAGCAAACAGGAUUAG
Molecule: ribosomal RNA, 776 nt
Filed under: uncultured Streptococcaceae bacterium
Lineage: Bacteria; Bacillati; Bacillota; Bacilli; Lactobacillales; Streptococcaceae
Description: bacterial SSU rRNA
Rfam family: Bacterial small subunit ribosomal RNA
Source: RNAcentral